RNAcentral lists this ribosomal RNA (519 nucleotides) under uncultured bacterium. RNAcentral describes it as "bacterial SSU rRNA". It matches the Rfam family "Bacterial small subunit ribosomal RNA", at positions 777 to 1304 of the family's 1533-position model. The record is from RNAcentral.
AAUAGAUACCCAGGUAGUCCACGCCGUAAACGAUGGAUACUAGCUGUUGGGGGCGACCUCAGUGGCUAAGCGAAAGUGAUAAGUAUCCCACCUGGGGAGUACGUUCGCAAGAAUGAAACUCAAAGGAAUUGACGGGGGCCCGCACAAGCGGUGGAGCAUGUGGUUUAAUUCGAUGAUACGCGAGGAACCUUACCAAGGCUUAAAUGCAGACUGACCGUUUUGGAAACAGAACUUUCGCAAGACAGUCUACAAGGUGCUGCAUGGUUGUCGUCAGCUCGUGCCGUGAGGUGUCAGGUUAAGUCCUAUAACGAGCGCAACCCCUGUUGUUAGUUGCCAGCGAGUAGUGUCGGGAACUCUAACAAGACUGCCAGUGCAAACUGUGAGGAAGGUGGGGAUGACGUCAAAUCAUCACGGCCCUUACGCCUUGGGCUACACACGUGCUACAAUGGCCGGUACAGAGAGCAGCCACCUCGCGAGGGGGAGCGAAUCUACAAAGCCGGUCACAGUUCGGAUCGGAGU